This is a non-coding RNA of Parelaphostrongylus tenuis, 71 nucleotides long. NCBI's taxonomy places the organism in Eukaryota, Metazoa, Nematoda, Chromadorea, Rhabditida, Metastrongylidae. The record is from the annotation of a GenBank genome assembly.
GCCUCGAUGGUGCAGUGGUAGCACGCGCCCACGGUAUGGGUGAAACGCAGGUUCAGCUCCCGUCUGAGGUU